Molecule: long non-coding RNA, 391 nt
Organism: Solanum stenotomum
Lineage: Eukaryota; Viridiplantae; Streptophyta; Magnoliopsida; Solanales; Solanaceae
Exons: 2
Source: RefSeq, a predicted model, not a curated record
GUCAGUUCUUCCGAGGGUGAUUCCGAUUCCAGCUGAGUGUUAAAGCUCUUUGUAUAGUGGAACUCAAUUUGCAGCCUCUGAUGAAGUGGUGUAGAUGCCAUCAACCCUUUCUUCACAUCAACUUGUAAUUCCCUAAUGGGGAUUGCUGCCAAAAAACUCUUAAUGUACUCUUUGCAAGCCUCUUUACCUUUGCAAACAAGGCUCGGUUCGUCCUCAUUUUCAGGUACUUUAUCUCUGAAGGCAACGGUUGAUUCUUCCAUCUUUUCGUUGGUGUUAUUUGAGAGAAUCUUCCGUUCAUUAGUAGCCUGCUUCUUAUCAGUUUGCUCCUUUUUAGUGCUAGCUGAUUUCUCAUCUGAUUGUUGACUCGUGUUAGGUAGCUGCAAGAUUGUAG